RNAcentral lists this ribosomal RNA (301 nucleotides) under uncultured bacterium. RNAcentral describes it as "partial 16S ribosomal RNA". It matches the Rfam family "Bacterial small subunit ribosomal RNA", at positions 509 to 807 of the family's 1533-position model. The record is from RNAcentral.
CAGUAGCCACGGUAAUACAGAGGGUGCGAGCGUUAAUCGGAUUUACUGGGCGUAAAGCGUGCGUAGGCGGCUUUUUAAGUCGGAUGUGAAAUCCCCGAGCUUAACUUGGGAAUUGCGCUCGAUACUGGGAAGCUAGAGUAUGAGAGAGGAUGGUAGAAUUCCAGGUGUAGCGGUGAAAUGCGUAGAGAUCUGGAGGAAUACCGAUGGCGAAGGCAGCCAUCUGGCCUAAUACUGACGCUGAGGUACGAAAGCAUGGGGAGCAAACAGGAUUAGAUACCCGCGUAGUCCCUGUCUCUUAUAC